Molecule: unclassified non-coding RNA, 257 nt
Filed under: plant metagenome
Description: partial contains small subunit ribosomal RNA, internal transcribed spacer 1, and 5.8S ribosomal RNA
Source: RNAcentral
UUUCCGUAGGUGAACCUGCGGAAGGAUCAUUAUCGUAAAACCGGGGUGCGAGGGCUGUCGCUGACCUUUUCGGUCGUACACGCACGAGCGCUCUCACACAAUCCAUCUCACCCCUUGUGCACCACCGCGUGGGUGCCUUUCUGGCUCGUUCGGAGGGGGGCUCGCGUUUUCACAAAAACUUGAAGUAGUGUAGAACGUCCUUUUUUUGCGAUAACACGCAAUAAAUACAACUUUCAACAACGGAUCUCUUGGCUCUC